GAAAUGCGAUAAGUAAUGUGAAUUGCAGAAUUCCGUGAAUCAUCGAAUCUUUGAACGCACAUUGCGCCCUCUGGUAUUCCGGGGGGCAUGCCUGUCCGAGCGUCAUUGCGAACCCCUCAAGCACGGCUUGUGUGAUGGGCCCUCCCGCGUCUUGGUCGUCAAGACGGGCCCGAAAUGCAGUGGCGGCUUCGCGGUUAUCCGAUCAGCCAGAGCGUAUGGGGACUUUCUGUCUGUCACACGCCCGCGGCGCGGACCGACGCCUGUCGACCUUCAUUCAUCGUUUUCUCGGUUGACCUCGGAUCAGGUAGGGAUACCCGCUGAACUUAAGC
RNAcentral lists this unclassified non-coding RNA (329 nucleotides) under plant metagenome. RNAcentral's name for it is "partial contains 5.8S ribosomal RNA, internal transcribed spacer 2, and large subunit ribosomal RNA". The stretch from base 1 to 105 matches the Rfam family "5.8S ribosomal RNA", at positions 50 to 154 of the family's 154-position model. The record is from RNAcentral.